UGACCUGUGUCAUCAAAAUAAAUUAGUCC
This 29-nucleotide non-coding RNA is filed under the name Mus musculus (house mouse). The record is from RNAcentral. Lineage: Eukaryota; Metazoa; Chordata; Mammalia; Rodentia; Muridae.